This is a long non-coding RNA of Oncorhynchus tshawytscha (Chinook salmon), 577 nucleotides long. Lineage: Eukaryota; Metazoa; Chordata; Actinopteri; Salmoniformes; Salmonidae. The record is from Ensembl.
GAUUUUUCCCUCUAACGUCUCUUCUUGGACUGUUGUUUAUGCAGGAGAUUGAUGCCUUUGUCCAAUAGUUUCUCUCAGUGGUCCAGAGGCUCUCGUCGUGUAUUUCCACCCUGCAGACACUCUCCAGACAGCCUGUGCCCUCUGCCUUCACCGAACUGAGUGACUUCUGUUACAGCCUUCACCGAACUGCUGCCGAGGGAGCUGGGCUUGGAUGAGCUGCUAAGGCACUGUGAGCGUGUGGUGGAGAAGCUGCGCUACCCUGAGAAUGACUCGUGCUAUCAGACAAUGGCCGGGACGGCCCUCUUCACCCACACAGCUUUCAAUAUGCUGCAGAACUACAGCAGGCCGCUGUGCUGAGGAUGUGAUCCACACGUUAGCUGACACUCUGCUUCCUGGUGAUGCCCAGACCAGGGUAGAGUGGGUGCAGGAUCCGGACAGACUGAAGGAGAACAUCCACUCUGCUGUAGAGCACCCUCAUCAGACCCUCGGAGCAGUCGCCGACUUCGACCACUACUACAACAAAGCCAAUAGCUGGUACAGCAUCGUCCUGUGUGAGAACUUUCUCCAAGACCUUCUG